CGCAUCUGUGCAUGCAGCAUAUCAAUAAGCGGAGGAAAAGAAACUAACAAGGAUUCCCCUAGUAACGGCGAGUGAAGCGGGAAGAGCUCAAAUUUGAAAUCUUAAAGGGUUUCCCUUUACGAAUUGUAGUUUAAAGAAGUGUUUUCUGUUGAGGUUUUGGUAAAAGUUCUUUGGAAUAGGACAUCAUAGAGGGUGAGAAUCCCGUAUUUGACCUUUACUUUCAACUUUGUGAUACACUUUCAAAGAGUCGGAUUGUUUGGGAAUGCAGUCCAAAAUGGGUGGUAAAUUUCAUCUAAAGCUAAAUAUUGGCGAGAGACCGAUAGCGAACAAGUACCGUGAGGGAAAGAUGAAAAGAACUUUGAAAAGAGGGUUAAACAGUACGUGAAAUUGUCAAAAGGGAAGCGUUUGACACCAGUGUUGUUUUUCUGAAAAUCAAUUAAAGAACUGUUUAUGCUAAGUUGUUUAGACUUUAUCAGCUAACUGUUUAGUUUUGAGCUUUUCUUUAAUGCACUUUUCAGUUAACAAGUCAACAUCAAUUUCUUUUGCUGUAAAAAAGCUUGAGGAAGGUGGCUUGAGAUUCGUCUUAAGUGUUUAUAGCCUCUUGCCUAUGCAGUCGGAGAGAUUGAGGUCUGCAGCGUAGAUCCUUCGGGGCUAAAUGCAUUUGUGCUAAGUUAUAGCAUUUUAUAGACAACUUGUUGACUAUGAUUUGUCUUGUAGCUUACUCGCUUAUGUUAUUUUACCUACGCUUAGGAUGUUGAACGCGCACAGAGUCUC
Molecule: ribosomal RNA, 774 nt
Filed under: uncultured Neocallimastigales
Lineage: Eukaryota; Fungi; Neocallimastigomycota; Neocallimastigomycetes; Neocallimastigales
Description: partial large subunit ribosomal RNA
Rfam family: Eukaryotic large subunit ribosomal RNA
Source: RNAcentral